ACGGGCCGAACUUAAGCAUAUCAGUAAGCCCAGGAAAAGAAAUUAACAAAGAUUGCCCCAGUAGCUGCGAGUGAACAGGCAAAAGCUCAAACUGGUAAUCCUACGCGUAGAGUGUUAGGAAUUGUAAUCUAGAGGUGCGUUCCGAAGGCAUGGUUGAGGUAUAAAUUCCUUGAACAGGAUGCCGAAGAGGGUGAUAGCCCCGUAAGCGGCCUUUGACCCGCCGUAGGAACGUAUUCAAAGAGUCGGGUUGUUUGGUAUUGCGGCCUUAAACGGGAGAUAAACUUCUUCUAAAGCUAAAUAUUUAUGGGAAACCGAUAGCGAACAAGUACUAUGAAGGAAAGGUGAAAAGAACUUUGAAAAGAGGGUUAAAAGACUUGAAAUCGUUGAGUCGGAAGUGGUAGAAGGGUAGUCAUUCGACUGCGAUGUAGUCGAGAGCAGGACCUGGCACCAGUGCCCUCCCUGUACCUAACCGGGCAGGCGGUACGGCCUCUAAAGGACUUGUUGCGAUCGUUUCGCAGACGAUAGCCAGAAUGGAAUGCAUGGUGUAGGAAUAAAUCAGAGCGAGGCUGGGACCUAGUCCUAAGCGCCUGAACGAAAUUGCACCUGCGUUUGAGGGAUGCCUACGGGCGAUUCUGGAACGGCGUCUUCUACCGACCCGUCUAGAAACACGGACCAAGGAGUGUAUCACCUGUGCAAGUGAUAGGGUGUAAAAACCCGAUCGCGCAGAGAAAUCGAGUUUAAGUAGCAACCAGCUACGGCCCACCUCUUGUCUUUGACAUGGGGCUGGAGCAAGAGCACAGUUGGUACGACCCGAAAGAUGAUGAACUACGCUUGAGUACGCCGAAACCAGGGGAAACUCUGGUGGAAGGUGGCAGAGCAACUGACGUGCAAAUCGUUCUUCAAACUUGAGUGUAGGUGCGAAAGACUAAUCGAAUCAUCUAGUAGCUGGUUCCCUCUGAAGUUUCUCUCAGGAUAGCUGGAACCGAGUUUAAAACGCAGUUUUAUCAGGUAAAGCGAAUGAUUAGAAGUACCGGUGUGCCAAGCACAUUGACUUAUUCUCAAACUUUAAAUUGGUAAGAAUUGUGGAGUGGCUAACUUAAUUGAGCACCUCCAGCAGAAUGCACGGUUCUUAGUGGCCUAUUUUUGGUAAGCAGAAAUGGGGAUGAGCGAUGCUGCUUUCGUCGAGAUAAAGUGCCAAAAUGUCCGCAAAUCAGACACCACUAAAAGAUGUUAGUUCAUAUAGACAGCAGGACGGUGGACCUGGCAGUAGUAAUCCGCUAAGGAAUGUGUAACAACUCACCUGCCGAAUGAACUAGCUCUGAAAAUUGAUGGCGCUCCAGCGGACUACUGAUACUCGACCAUUGCCGUAAAUUUGAUACGGCAAUGAGUAAGAGGGCGUGCCCGUUUUGUGUGGAAGGCUAGCGCGUGAGCGUGGCUGGAACAGCGGGCAGUGCAGAUCUUGGUAGUAGUAGCAAAUAUUCAAAUGAGAACUUUGAAGACUGAUUUGGGGAAAGGUUCCAUGAAAAUAGCAAUUAGUCAUGGGUUAAUCGGUCCUAAGCCUAAGGCUGACGCCGAAAGCAUUCGCAUGUACAUGCGAGCUGGCGAAAGGGAAUGUGGUUAACAUUCCGCAAUUUGUCUUGGAUAUUUAGCGGCAACGCGAACGAUCCCGCAGACAUCGGUAAAAGUCAUAGGAAGAGUUCUCUUUUCUUUUUAACUGGUUGUGGCCCUGAAAUUGAAUUAUUCAGAGAUAGGGCUAUACGCCAGGAAGAGCAGUUCACUAUACGAGCUGUCUAUGGCGCUUUUAACGAUCAUUGAAAAUGUGGGGGAGAAUAUUAUUUCAAGACAAGCCGUACUCAUAACCGCAUCAGGUCUCCAAGGUU
This 1880-nucleotide ribosomal RNA is filed under the name Cristigera media. Its description in RNAcentral is "LSU rRNA". It matches the Rfam family "Eukaryotic large subunit ribosomal RNA", at positions 23 to 1874 of the family's 3401-position model. Lineage: Eukaryota; Ciliophora; Oligohymenophorea; Pleuronematida; Cyclidiidae. The record is from RNAcentral.